UCACUAAUUGAGAAAAUGCCUUGCAGCUGGAUCUCAUGGGGGCAUUUCCUCAAGGGAGGCUCCUUUCUCUGUGAGAACUCCUGCUUGUGUCAAGUUGACACACAAAACCAGCCAGCACAGAGAGAGAGAUGGAUUGGCAGACAAGUCCUCUUAUACACAGCUCACACCUGUCUCAGGUUGUGAUGUGAGCAGUUGCUGGGUGCCUGAGGGCCGGCCCCUCUCCUGUUGACUGUGUAGAUUGCCGAUUGUGGAGAGACUCAACAAUGCAUAUGCAGAGGUCUUCCUGAAACAAGCAUUAUACACACAUGGCCUCAUUGUUCUUUCUUCUUUAGAAAUUUAAGAUCCGCAUUGAAGACCCGCCUCGCAGGAAGCACAUGGUGUUCUUGGGUGGCGCAGUCCUAGCAGACAUCAUGAAAGACAAAGACAACUUCUGGAUGACCAGACAAGAGUACCAAGAAAAGGGUGUCCGUGUGCUGGAGAAACUCGGUGUGACUGUUCGAUAAAAUAGCAGGCUUGUCCCCAUCACGCCUCUAAUGCUUUUUCUUUUUCCCUUUUAAAAAAAAAAAAAAAAAAAUUCUUUAAUGCCAAUCUUUAAACUCAUUCAACUCCAGGACUGAAG
This 619-nucleotide long non-coding RNA is filed under the name Rattus norvegicus (Norway rat). RNAcentral's name for it is "long non-coding RNA NONRATT010159". Lineage: Eukaryota; Metazoa; Chordata; Mammalia; Rodentia; Muridae. The record is from RNAcentral.